GAGUCUCUACCUUCUGAGGAACUUUCAUGCCAUUUAUUUGGUGUGGUUGGAAAUCAGGACUGUUACUUUGAAAAAAUUAGAGUGUUUAAAGCAGGCUAACGUCUGAAUACAUUAGCAUGGAAUAAUGAAAUAGGACGGAUUGAUUCUAUUUCGUUGGUUUCUAGGGUCACCGUAAUGAUUAAUAGGGAUAGUUGGGGGCAUUAGUAUUCAAUUGUCAGAGGUGAAAUUCUUGGAUUUAUUGAAGACUAACUACUGCGAAAGCAUUUGCCAAGGAUGUUUUCAUUAAUCAAGAACGAAAGUUAGGGGAUCGAAGACGAUCAGAUACCGUCGUAGUCUUAACCAUAAACUAUGCCGACUAGGGAUCGGAUGAUGUUAUUUUUAAUGACUCAUUCGGCGCCUUACA
This 403-nucleotide ribosomal RNA is filed under the name uncultured Glomeromycotina. RNAcentral describes it as "SSU rRNA". It matches the Rfam family "Eukaryotic small subunit ribosomal RNA", at positions 690 to 1092 of the family's 1831-position model. The record is from RNAcentral. Lineage: Eukaryota; Fungi; Glomeromycota.